Molecule: ribosomal RNA, 420 nt
Filed under: Triticum aestivum (bread wheat)
Lineage: Eukaryota; Viridiplantae; Streptophyta; Magnoliopsida; Poales; Poaceae
Description: partial small subunit ribosomal RNA
Source: RNAcentral
AUGUGGAGAAGCUUUCACUAUAUAUAUAUGAACCAUUCAUGGAGCAAGCAUUUCACGGUCAUACACUCAUCAACUCCACUUACAAGAGUACCACCCAUUAAUAGCCUCUGUUCCCCGGUGAUGAUGACCAAGUACAUGAGGAACAAUGUGCAAGGACUAGUGCUACUUUCUUUUCUUCUUGUGGUGUGUUUGACUUGUCUUGGAGGCACAUAUGGCGAAAUCAUAAAUGACAAGGGGAGCAACAUGAUGAGGAAAGUAAGCCAUGUAACGAGACCCCCUUGUUAUAAAGAUGGGCACCAGCUCCCAGGACGGGAAUUCUGCUGUAAAAUAGAUAACUUGUGCUGGCCAAGUCUCGGAGAAUGCUUCAUCAACUGUCCCUGCAAGAUUAAUUGCACACCAGCAGCAGCAGCAACACGAUAG